This 434-nucleotide ribosomal RNA is filed under the name uncultured bacterium. RNAcentral describes it as "partial 16S ribosomal RNA". It matches the Rfam family "Bacterial small subunit ribosomal RNA", at positions 29 to 507 of the family's 1533-position model. The record is from RNAcentral.
ACGCACGCUGGCGGCAGGCUUCACACAUGCAAGUCGAACGCGUGCAGCAAUGCACGAGUGGCGCACGGGUGAGUAACGAGUGGAUAUCUGCCUUUUGGUUCGGAAUAACCCCGGGAAACUGGGGCUAAUACCGGAUGGUUCCUACGGGAUAAAGAUUUAUCGCCAAAAGAUGAGUCCGCGUCCGAUUAGCUAGUUGGUGAGGUAAUGGCUCACCAAGGCGACGAUCGGUAGCUGGUCUGAGAGGACGAUCAGCCACACUGGGACUGAGACACGGCCCAGACUCCUACGGGAGGCAGCAGUGGGGAAUAUUGGACAAUGGGGGCAACCCUGAUCCAGCCAUGCCGCGUGAGUGAUGAAGGCCUUCGGGUUGUAAAGCUCUUUUGGCGGGGACGAUGAUGACGGUACCCGCAGAAUAAGCCCCGGCUAACUUCGUG